CAUUUGAGAAGAGACGAAGGCAAGAGAGCCUGUUUUCAUUGGCUUGAAGGAUCUGGGACACAAAAUGAAAGGAUCACGAUGAUUCUCUGUUGUUCAAGGAAUUUAUAGAACUAAAUCGGGAUACCUAUUCGCAAAAUAUGAUCCAAGGAAAGGUGCUGUUGCUGUUGUUUUGCCGUAACAGUAACGUUGAUUAAUUAAAGACGGAUGAGUGAAUAAAGGAGAGAUAUUUAAAGAAGCCCAAAUCUUAGAGAAUCUUUUGCGUGAUGUCUUUGAUUGAGACUGUGAGACUCGAUGCAUUCUGUAAUAAUAAUAUAAAUAUCAAUUUCUACAUAGUAGUAUUAAUAAUAUUUAGUUUUUUCACGAAAUUUGUUUUAUAAAUGUCAUUUUAUAGUAAUUUUAGUUAACGUGUUGACGUCAAGAAAAACAUACAUUAAACUGCUCUAAAUAAUAAUAACACAUAUUUGCUUGUAAUUUUUCAAAUAGCAUUCUUCGUGUUCUA
Xenia sp. Carnegie-2017 is the source of this 499-nucleotide long non-coding RNA. RefSeq lists it as uncharacterized. The record is from RefSeq and is a predicted model, not a curated record. The transcript is spliced from 2 exons. NCBI's taxonomy places the organism in Eukaryota, Metazoa, Cnidaria, Anthozoa, Malacalcyonacea, Xeniidae.